This 481-nucleotide ribosomal RNA is filed under the name uncultured bacterium. Its description in RNAcentral is "bacterial SSU rRNA". It matches the Rfam family "Bacterial small subunit ribosomal RNA", at positions 29 to 507 of the family's 1533-position model. The record is from RNAcentral.
AUGAACGCUGGCGGCGUGCCUAACACAUGCAAGUCGAACGAAGCACAUACGACGGAACUCUUCGGAGGGAAGAUGUAUAUGACUGAGUGGCGGACGGGUGAGUAACGCGUGGGUAACCUGCCCUAUACAGGGGGACAACAGUUGGAAACGACUGCUAAUACCGCAUAAGCGCACAGUACCGCAUGGUACAGAGCGAAAAAACUCCGGUGGUAUAAGAUGGACCCGCGUCUGAUUAGCUAGUUGGUGAGAUAACAGCCCACCAAGGCGACGAUCAGUAGCCGACCUGAGAGGGUGACCGGCCACAUUGGGACUGAGACACGGCCCAGACUCCUACGGGAGGCAGCAGUGGGGAAUAUUGCACAAUGGAGGAAACUCUGAUGCAGCGACGCCGCGUGAGUGAAGAAGUAAUUCGUUAUGUAAAGCUCUAUCAGCAGGGAAGAUAGUGACGGUACCUGACUAAGAAGCUCCGGCUAAAUACGUG